GACGAACCGUGCGAACGUUAUUCGGAAUCACUGGGCUUAAAGGGCGCGUAGGCGGGCGGCCAAGUCAGGGGUGAAAGCCCCCAGCUCAACUGGGGAAGUGCCUCUGAUACUGGUCGUCUCGAGGGAGAUAGGGGCGUGCGGAACUUCCGGUGGAGCGGUGAAAUGCGUAGAUAUCGGAAGGAACACCGGUGGCGAAAGCGGCGCGCUGGAUCUCUUCUGACGCUGAGGCGCGAAAGCCAGGGGAGCGAACGGG
Molecule: ribosomal RNA, 253 nt
Filed under: uncultured bacterium
Lineage: Bacteria
Description: partial 16S ribosomal RNA
Rfam family: Bacterial small subunit ribosomal RNA
Source: RNAcentral